AUGGCCCGAGGGCCUCCACCCGACCUAUUCUGCCCCAGAUCGAACCCUUCCACCAAAUCGAACCCUCGCUCCUCCUCGACCGCCGCCGUCGCCGCCCCCACCCCUAUGCCGUUGGCCACACCCUCUCUCUUGGCUGAUCUGUGCAACCCCAUCGGGAUCUAUGGCGGCAGUGCUUGGAUCUCGGCGUCGCCUCCCUCCAGACGCAUCUGGUGUGCGAGAUCAAAGUCGCCUCCCUCCCUUCGACACCACCACCAGAACUGCUCGACACCGCCGGUCGCCUCCCUCUCUUCUACACGGCGACGAGCAUGGGUGGAUUCCCCUCAUGGCUUCCUCCCCGCGAACGGCGACGCGGUGCCUCCUCUCCACUAUGCACGUACAACACGCUCCUUAGAUCUGUCCUGGUGGAAACUCGAUGAGGUGCUAUUAGGGAAAGGAUUGGAGACUGGUUCUAGUAGUGGUUGGUUUGUUGGAGGAUUUUCUAGUGCUCAUGAUUUGCAAAUGGUUCAGCCAGUACUGGCGUCUAGCAACCUUGAAGCCCACAGUCGACCUGUAGGCCACAUCUCUCUCAGUGUUGCAUGA
RNAcentral lists this ribosomal RNA (579 nucleotides) under Triticum aestivum (bread wheat). Its description in RNAcentral is "partial small subunit ribosomal RNA". Lineage: Eukaryota; Viridiplantae; Streptophyta; Magnoliopsida; Poales; Poaceae. The record is from RNAcentral.